Long non-coding RNA from Synchiropus splendidus (mandarinfish), 1544 nucleotides. RefSeq lists it as uncharacterized. The record is from RefSeq and is a predicted model, not a curated record. NCBI's taxonomy places the organism in Eukaryota, Metazoa, Chordata, Actinopteri, Syngnathiformes, Callionymidae. The transcript has 3 exons.
AUCAUAAACUGACGAGUAGUAAAGUUUUUUUUCAACGUUAUAACUGUUUAAUACUGAUCAAUUCCUACUCUCACAGUGAGACACAGUCAUCGUAAACUACUAAAUUAACUUGCGUGGCAACUGAGCUGAUUUUCAUACCAGAUAUUACAUGACGGCACAACGUGUACAGUGGAAAACCUCAAGAUCUACAUCUGUGGCAUGAGAGACAGAGGAAGGGCAGCACGGACAAAUUGAGAUGCAUUUCAGUUUUCUGACGGUCUCAUCUUCAACACACUGGAAGAAGUCUUCUGAAGCUUCGCGCAAGGUGGAGAAAAACUCAUGCACUCCUGGGCAUCAAAGUAGGACCAAACAGAAGCCAGGAGGAAGAGUGAAGAUGCAAAGAGUAGAGCAUCGCUCCAACCUACCACAGUGACCUCAGAAACGAGUACGUCAGAGGGACGUGGAGGAGUUUGAAGAGGACAGAGUGUUGGGAGAGCAGAGAAGAUUAUUGUUGGCGACAAAGAAAAGGAAGACGACCAAUGAGGCUCAAGGGUGUGACAAAGGUGGAACAGGUGUGUCAUGGGAAUGCGCAAGAAGAGAAUAGGAAAUCACCAAAGAAAAAGAAGGAAUUUAUUCGGCCUAAUAAUAUUUGUUUUUGGUCAAUUUCCGCUCAAAUUAUUUUAAUGAAGAUGAUGUCUUUACCAUGCACCACACGAGCGCCCUUCCGUAUGUCUUGAUCAUCAAUUUGUGAUCCCACUUUAUUCCCAGCAAAGUCGGCGAUGCCAUGUGCCGCGUCCACUACAGAACAAGACAGUAUAACGUUCACUUCUUUAGAAAAACAACAAGAGAGAGAAAAUCGCUCUGCAUGAAAGGCAUUGUCACCAAGGUAUUCAGUGGCUUCGGCAGCUCCAUCUGUCGCCUUUGCAACUCUCUCAAGGGUUGCCAUGCUUACGGGGUUGACAUGAGUUGGUCUGGCAUGUGGCUUGGUGUGCUCUCUUAUUUUGGUGCCCCCUUUCUGGAUGUUUUUGCAAACAAACUUCGAUCCUUUCUUCAAGGUAGCCGAAAGACCUCCUGGAGUGCAGUACAUUUUCACUUUAACAGUGAUUCAGCAAGGCAAAGCAACAUGACCUGACCUCUCACAAACUCCUCGCUGUCCUCGUGCCGGGGAGGUGCGGACAACUCGGGCUGGUAUGAGUUGGCAUAGCUCGCACCGCCGUCCUGAGACACAUGACAACAUGAAUAAAAAUUGUGCAAGCCAUAACAAUGAUGGUUAUACUGACACCUGAUCUCUGAAGCUUGUCCCCUGAGCGAACAUGUGGUGGAACAUGUCUCUGUCCUGAGCAUCCACAAAUGAAAGCAACACUCGGACUGUUUGGGUCCCGUUCCAUUCAUCCCACAUGUACAUGCCGUUGCACAGCCAAGUCGGACUGUCUGGGGUCAGGACGAACCUGAAGUCACACACCUGCCAGGAGGAUGAUAACUCAGGCAUUUCUUAAGAGAAACCAUCAGAGGGCAGCAGAGAAGUCCACUCUUCUACAUUAUAUUUUACAACAUUAUUAUUUCAU